AGCGCUCGCCGAAGGGUGCCAGGCUGUGGGUCGGAACUGCGCUCAGCGAGCAGCUGGGCGCUGGAGAAAGGAUUUCUUCCGACAGACGUGACCCCAGAAGGCUGCCGAGGGAGACUUUAGGACAAGAGGCGUUGUUUUUUUAGGGAAGGAAGAGGAGCCUGUGCAGAGUUGAACUGGGGUGGAGAGGUGCCUUGUAAAGUAUGGUUUCCAGAGAUGGUGAGACCUCGUAGCUAAGCGUUGUUUCCUCUGCACGUAACUGUGAGUUGUGAACUUGUGGCUCCUGGGGGAGCGGGACAGGGCCUGGCAGUGCGGGGGAGGGGGCAAGGAAUUCAGGAAGUUGGCGAGAAUUCUUCGUUUUUCAUUCUUCGUUGUAAAUUGCUUCUAAACACUUCUGAAUUUUAAAUUGCUACCGAGAAGGUCCAGAAACCGUUCUCAUCCAAUUUAGUCACUUUUAUUACGUUCCACUUUGCCUCCCCCAAUCACUGCGGCGGCUCCCAGUUUCAGCGUGGCCGCAUUUGGAAAAGGCUGAAGGUAGAAAACUCUGGAAUGGAGAGGCUGGCGACUGGAGCAGGAUCCAGGGGCUUUAAAUUUUAACCUGAAUGCGAUCGAAUGCGCGACUCCCAGAAGAGAUAGCCAGGCGUCCGCCCGGCCGCUCAACCCCCGCCAGGACUCGGAAUGCCUUGCUUUUGGUUCUUUUCUACAAGGAUGUCUGCGUGGAUAUCCCUGGACACUCGAUACCCCCCGGGGACCUGCUUUUCCCGCAGCUCCGCAGACGCGGCGGGAGGGCGCGCUGGCCCCGGCGCUGCUGGGACAGAGGUGAGCAGCGGGGUGGACAUUGACCGAUUCGACAACGUUCGGGCUCUAAGGGCUCGGGAAGGGACCCGGCAUUUUACCCUCCAGAUUCCCAAUCUAUUUUUAAAAAUAAUGUUCAAAACAUAUGGGAAAAAUAAGUGAUUGCUCCUUUUCAUGGUCACAGAUUGUAUUUAUUUUUUCAGACUGGUUUUCCAACCUAACGAGGGAAUGGGUAGUGAAUGUUGUUGUUGUUGUUGUUGUUUAUGUUGGUUAAUUUCGAAAUAAAACUGUUUAACUCGUACAGUUGAUUCAGACAGAAAACCAGGCUGCCUGACGUCUCCAAUGUGCCUUUUCCCCAAUGCAUCUUUGGCGCUAGGGACCGCUCUGGGGAAGACAAGCAUGUUUUCAAAGCCACUCCCAUGAGCCCCAGACCCGCGCGUGGAGCUUCCUGGGCGCGCCCCAGCUGGUCUGGAAGGCCGGCAAAUUAGGAAGUUUGGAGGGAAGAGGUGCACCCCAAACUAGGGAGAAACCCAAGAGCUGGGGAGAAGGCCCCCACUAGUGUCCAAAGUACGCGGACAGCUCUUAAAAGUUAUUGUUUUCUUCGUGGGGAUAUAUAUUUUUUCUUUUCCUUCCUUUCCUUUUUUUUUUUCUUUCACCCUCGCAUGUCUCCUCUUUCGGGAUUUGCUAAUCUUGAACGAAACUGUUCUCUCCGGACUGUUUCGACCCAAUGAGCGGCCCCUCCUGGGCAAGUCGUCCCCCUUACCCUCACAGAGGGCUGGCUCCCGGGCGCGGCCUGUCCCCAGGGUUGAUUUAUUUCGGCCGCGCCACACCACUAUUCGCGAUUCGAAUCCACCCAGAACACUGCAGCCAAUUGGGCAGGGGGCGGGGGCUUGGCUGCCAAACGGGAAGGGUGUUUGGGGACCCAGUCUUGCGCCGCUUCCGGAGGAGCGGCGAGACCCAGCAAGGACCCGCGUCCCCGUGCACCUCCACCCCCGCAAACUCACGCUCAUUUUACGAUCCUGUCACAAAACUGGCUGCUUCGGCGAUGUUUCAUAAGGAAAAAGAAUGCAUUUCUGACUUAAAACAUAUUUUUAACUUAGAUUUUUAACAGCCCAGAUUUAUGAGGCCUUCUCGCUUAUACCAUAUUUCUUCCCGUCUCUGGGACGCUUUUACCCAAGGACCCGGGGUCACCUCAGAGCCCCCCACCCCUGCCAGCGUCUGGGGCCAGUGGUGGGUUCCGGGCGGCGUGUCCCCCACUCAGCGGCCGCACUGCACGGUAGGCCGUCGACCAGAGUCCUGGCGGUGAUUUUCUUUAAGUUUAAAUCUCGGGAAACCAAAAACACUCUUUAGAAACGUCAGGUGGUGGCGGCGGAAACUUGCAGGUCGCCCCCACCCCCAGCGCCGGCUCCCGCCGGCGGCCACUUCGGGGAAGGACCGCGCGGAGCCAGCGCCGGGGUCCCCGGGCGGUCGGAAUCGAGGCCCGGCGCGUUGCGCAGGCCAGGCCCGGCCCGGAGGCCCCUUGCCCGGCGCAGCCCCCGGCCGACCCCCGUGCGCCGCCGGCGGCCGCCAGCACGGCGCGGAGGUGGGCUAGCGGCGGCGGCGCACGAAAGGUCACCGCGGUGGCAUUCCUCUCCGCGCUGUUUACGUGACUUAAUGUACUCGCUGCGCCGCGGCACCCUAUCUUCUAAAAGAAGAUCUAAACCUUCAUAAUGAAAACUUUAAAAAGGAAUUUAUGGGAUGUAACAAAGAAUACUCUUCUCUAGAUAAAAUGACAGGGAAAUAGAUUUGUCUUUCAGAAGGCAAAGUCUGGAGGGAACAUAAAAGUCUUCCCGUCCCUGCAGUUUUUCUGCCCGAUUUGUGCCCAGAGCCUGUUUUUCUCUUGUCUUUGACAGUUCUGAUCUUCUCUACGUUUGAUUUACUGAGUGCUGUCAUUUCUCUGCUCUUUACUUUCACAAUCACACAUUCAAACCUGAUAAAGUUCAAGACCCUGAAUACUUGCAGCUCUCCCAGAUUUACAGCCCUCCUGCCCCCCAGCCCAGCCAGCCGUCCCGAGGCUGAUUGAAUCCUCAUGGACAGAAGCCUUUGGGGGUCAGUGGAGAGCCAGAGGGUCCAAGAGGGCCAGGCCCAGGGGGAACAUCAGCCCCUGUGUCAACUCUGUUAUCCAUAGCAAGCCUGGGUAGGUCCCUUCCCCUUGAAAGCGAUUGUCAACAUCCUCUUGUUUCAGUUCUCACUUCUAGCCUGUAACCUGCCUGUGGGCAAGUACAGGAACUGUAACUCACAAAAUAGAAUUGGUGAGGAUUCAAGAGGCUGAGAUGGAAGUAUCGCUUGAGCCCAGGAGUUCGGGGCAGCAGUGAGCUAUGAUUACACCACUGCACCACUGCACUCCAGCCUGGGCAACAGAGCAAAGCCCACAGUCAAAAAAAAAAAAAAAAAAAAGGCCAGGUGCAGUGGCUCAUGCCUAUAAUCCCAACACUUUGGUAGGCUGAGGCAGGAAGAUCACCUGAGGUCAGGAGUUCGAGUUCGAGACCAGCCUGGCCAACAUGGUGAAACCCUGUCUCUAUAAAAACAGCAAAAAUUAGCCAGGCAUGGUGGCGUGUGCCUUUAGUCCCAGCUAUUCGGGAGGCUGAGGUGGAAGAAUCACUUGAACCCAGGAGGUGGAGGUUGCAGUGAGCCGAGAUCACUGCACUCCAGCCUGGGUGACAGAGUGAGACCUUGUCUCAAUUAAAAAAACAAAACAAAACAAAAAAAAAAACAGAGAGAGAGAAUUGGAUGCAAAAUUGUGGUCAAUGUGCAUGCAUAAGUGCUAGAUUUUCCUGGACUACUAAACAGCCUUGUAAUCAAGGGCAAGACACUUAACCUCUUCGUGUCUCAGUUGCUCCAUACAUAAAAUGGUAAAAAUAUUACUUUCUACAAACAUUAAUCACGAACUAAUGACUUGGGUCCCCUUUCCUGCAUGUACGUCCAUCAGGGCCCCAGAAAGACCACUAGCAUGUGGCUGAUCUGGCUCUUUGGUUUCUGUCAGGUUAAAUACAAACUUACACAUUAAUCUAAAUACUACACCAGUGGGCUAAACAAAAGGGAUGAUCCAUUUCCAAAGGCUGAACAGUUAACUUAGAGUCAAAUUUUCAAACCACUGAAAUGUCUUCUGAUAGAAGAUGCUAUCUAAAUUGUUUAUUCUUUGCCUGCGAAUAUAAGCCCACUCAACCAUAGAACGCUGACCAAAAGCAAUCACUGAGGAUGGACGCCCUUAUUCUCAAUGAUUACUCUAAAGGGACUUCAUACUUACCAAAUAAGCAAUUCUUUUGCAUGAGCUAAUGUUUUCAUUUAUCUUGAACUAUCAGAGUUUUCUGACUAAGGUACACAUUUUAGGUGGCAGCAGUUUAAGUAGGUAUUUUUUUUUAAUCACUAUUCUAAGUCUAUGGACUAAGAAAGGUAUGAUUCCCCUCCCCCCCCUUUAAUGUUCAUGUCCUACAGAGAGCCAAAUUGUCAUAAUACCUAAGGGGAAAAUUGUAUUAACCUAUUAGGGAAGGAAGCAGAGUAGUUGCCUACCUUCUUCAGAAGGGAUUUUUAUUUUUAAUCUAUCCACUCAAGAGACACCCUUUAGAGUAUAUUACAAUGUUGCUUUUUCCUGGCCAUAAUAAUAUUCACCCCUACAGAGGUGGAUAAAGAUAGAAACCUGACUUAAUGGAUAUCAAAUAACUUUUUCUGGCUACUCUUAAGCUAGAUUACUGCUGUUUAUAAUACCACAAAUUAAAGAUAUGCAAUUAUCCAACAAAAAAAGUGUGACUAUUAUACCAUUUUUAAAGAUUGACUACCAGUGCCCAGCAAACUCUAGCCAAAAACCACAGUGUGGAUCCACAAAGCUGUCAACCUUUACAUUUCAGUCAUCUUUCUGUCCAGAGCUCAGCAUGCUUUGGGCAGAAGUGCAAAAGGCUAGGUGCAUGGGGAAAAGUCUAUCCAGUGUAACUGCUGCAGCAGCUGGCUGCACCUCUGCACCUGGAGCUAGAUUAAGCACCAGUUAUGGAGGCAUGGGUUCAAAUCCCAGAUAUGCAUCUUGCUGUUUCUCUUUAGUUGUGUGAUCUUGGGCAUGUUCCUUAAUAUCUCUACUCCUGGUCAGGCACGGUGGCUCACGCCUGUAAUGCCAGCACUUUCGGAGGCCAAGGCAGGUGGAUCACCUGAGGUCAGGAGUUCGAGACCUCUGUGGCCAACAUGGUGAAACCCCGUCUGUACUAAAAAUUCAAAAAUUAGCCGGAGGAGGCUAAUUCUUAUCUCUCAGGAGGCUGAGACAUAAGAAUCACUUGAACCCGGGAGGUGGAGGUUGCAGUGAGCUGAGAUUGCGCCACUGCACUCCAGCCUGGGCAACAGAGCAAGACCCUUCUCAAAAAAAAUAUAUAUAUAUGAUUUUCAUGAAGAUUAAAUGAAUUAAUAUUUAUAAAAUGCUUAGAAGAGUGUUUGGCUCACCAUACAGGGUUUUUGAGAUGUUUGAUAAAUAAGCAAAAACACAAACUUCUAUUUCAGGCCACUUUUUAAGGGGAAGAGAGGAGGUACCAAGGCCUCAAAGAAGUGAGGUAGGAGGGUGAUCAAAACUAAAAAGAAAAGACGAGAAAAAGCUUUCAAGAAUAUCAGACAUUUCCUAUAGGGAAUUAUUUGCAAUCAUCAACUCACCCUGUCUGUCCCUAGGUGAUAGUGCAAGUAAGUUUGUGUUUGUUUUAUUUGGUCAAACUCCUUGAUCCUGCUGAGACAAACACUAUGGUGGGUACUAGGGAAGCAAAGAUGCUUGACAAUGCCCUGCCCUCAAGCUGCUCCCAGAUAAGCAGGAGAGACAGACAAGAUUACAGAAAAUCGUCACACCAGGUGGCAAGUGCCACUGUAGAGAGAAAUCAGGGGACUGUUGGAGUGCAACCAGAGAAGGCUUCCUGGAGCAGUCGUAAAACUCACCUGACUGAGUUUUGAGAAAUGACUUAAUCAGACAAGGUUUAGGAAGUGAGAAGCAGCAAAGAUAAUUAACUGGAGCCUUAGUGUGAAGUGCCAGCAAGAAAGCAGAGAGGUUGGCAGGAUUCUAAUGCAGCCAAAGAUCUUUUAACUAUAAAAUUAUACUAAAAAUGUAGAUGCAAAAAUAUGCCUUUUAGAACAAAAGAUAAGGAGUGUCAAUGAGAAAGAAAUGAUCAAACCUCCAAGUGUAUUCACUGGAAAAUUGACCUCAAGGAUGAAAACCUCUUCAGACAGAGAGAUCACUGUUGCAUGCUAUGAGGGCCAAGUCAUGACUGAAUCUGCUAAAGUAAAUUGUAAUUAGAUUUGGGGCAUUAAAGUGGAACCCAAAAUAAUAAAAUUAGGCUGGAACACUAGAAUGUCAGCUCAAAACGGCCGGGCACGGUGGCUCACGCCUGUAAUCCCAGCACUCUGGGAGGCCGAGGCAGGCUGAUCAUGAGGUCAGGAGAUCGAGACCAUCCUGGCUAGCAUGGUGAAACCCCAUCUCUACUAAAAAUACAAAAAAUUAGUCAGGCGUGGUGACAGGCACCUGUGGUCCCAGCUGCUCGGGAGGCUGAGGCAGGAGAAUGGCGUGAACCCGGGAGGCGGAGGUUGCAGUGAGCCGAGAUCGUGCCACUGCACUCCAGCCUGGGCGACAGAGCGAGACUCCGUCUCUAAAAAAAAUAAAAAUAAAAAAGAAUGUAAGCUCAAGAAAACUGGAAUUUUUGUCUGUUCUGUUCAUCACAGUUUCCCCAGAGCCCAGAACAGAGCCUGGCCCAUAGCAGGCAUGUCAUACGUAUUUGUUGAAUGAAUGGUACAUGAAAAUAUAUAGCACACUCCCCAUAACCUUGCCACUCACUUCUCUGAUGUUGAGACAUGAUAUCACCAGCCUCGUUGAUAUGCCAUCAAAUAGUAAUUCCCACUCACCAGCAUCACAACCUAUUGCCACAUCCCAGGGCAUUGUUGAUUGCUUUCACUUACAAUAAUACCCUCACUGUCUUUGGGCCUGUGGCACACUCUCCCCAGGCCCUGGCAACCUUUUACUUAGACUGCUGUAGGUCUCUUGGGAAGCAGGUGCUUGAGGGCUGUCCCCUCACAUUGGAACUGUAAAUGAAUUCUCUAACUGGCAUCAGACUUUCUACUCACUAUUUAAUAGUCUUCAUUCUCUACUUUCAAAAUCCUGGCACCUGCACCUCACUUGACCCUCCUUCCUGUCCCACCUAUGGCUUCUCUUCUCCCUCAAGCCUUCUCUCACGCACUGCUCUAGGGCUGAAUAGAAAUUCAAGCUCCCAGCUGGGCACAAUGGCUCACGCCUGUAAUCCCAGCACUUUGGGAGGCCGAGGCAGGUGGAUCCCCUGAGGUCAGGAGUUCAAGACCAGCCUGGCAAACAUGGCGAAACCCUCUCUUUCUAAAAAUGUAAAAAUUAGCAGGGCGUGGUGGCACACGCCUGUAAUCCCAGCUACUCAGGAGGCUGAGGCAGGAGAAUCGCUUGAACCCAGGGGUGGAGGUUGCAGUGAGCCGAGAUCGCACCACUUCACUCCAGCCUGGGUGAAAGAGCAAAACUCCAUCUCAAAAAAAAAAAAAAAGAAAAAGAAAGAAAUUCAGCCUUCCUCCUUUCCUAUUCCACCAGUCCCUGAGAUUCUACCUCCUCCACGAGAUCUCGCCUGACAAUUUAGAAGAGGAACAGUGGGUUUUGUUCGUACAUAAUCACCUCAUGUCCCUGGCACCAAUACUCAUGAAUAGUCCAGAACCAAUUUAACUUCGACAUACAAGAGGUCUCCCAGCUUUAAGUGCUAGUUAUGUUUCUGAAGAGUUGUGGGCAUGUAGCAUUUUUGAAAUCCAAAUUAUUCAAGGCCACCCU
This 7621-nucleotide long non-coding RNA is filed under the name Homo sapiens (human). RNAcentral describes it as "non-protein coding GATA6-AS1:11". Lineage: Eukaryota; Metazoa; Chordata; Mammalia; Primates; Hominidae. The record is from RNAcentral.